RNAcentral lists this ribosomal RNA (512 nucleotides) under uncultured soil bacterium. Its description in RNAcentral is "bacterial SSU rRNA". It matches the Rfam family "Bacterial small subunit ribosomal RNA", at positions 26 to 522 of the family's 1533-position model. The record is from RNAcentral.
AGGACGAACGCUGGCGGCGCGCUUAACACAUGCAAGUCGAGCGAUCGGUCGAGCCUUCGGGCUCGGCACGGAGCGGCGAACGGGUGAGUAACACGUGGGUGACCUACCCUUGGCUCUGGGAUAACUCCGGGAAACCGGUGCUAAUACCGGAUGGCCUCCGACGUCUCAGGGCAACGGAGAAAAGGUAGCUUCGGCUUCCGACCGAGGAUGGGCCCGCGGCCGAUUAGCUUGUUGGUGGGGUAAUGGCCCACCAAGGCGACGAUCGGUAGCUGGUGUGAGAGCAUGACCAGCCACACUGGGACUGAGACACGGCCCAGACUCCUACGGGAGGCAGCAGUGGGAAUCGUUGCGCAAUGGGACGAAAGCCUGACGCAGCGACGCCGCGUGCGGGAAGAAGGCCUUCGGGUUGUAAACCGCUUUACGAGGGGACGAAGGCCGACGUCGGUAAUAGCCAGAGGUGACGGUACCGUCAGAACGAAGACCCCGGCUAACUACGUGCCAGCGACGCCGAC